AAGUUCAGUUUCGUUGCAGUUGAACCAAAGUAUCAUGAAAAACACAAACUAACCUAAGCUACUCCAAAAUAUAUGUUUCCAAUGCUUUUACUGUUCACUCUUUUAUCACAUUGCCUUUCUUCCUCAACAACUCUCUCUUCUUUCAGUACUACUCUUUUCUCUCUUCUAUCAAACAUCACAAAAUUAUUUUUCUCUUUUCUUUGUGAAAUCAGUGGUUUUUUUAGAUCUAUGAGAAAGACAAGUGAUGUUUUGAAUCUAUGAAAUCAAAGAAGAUCUAUUAAAUGUUUUUUUCCAGGUUGUUUUACUGUGAUAUGAAACGGCCUCCAGGCGGAUCUGAAAUCGAAACCACCAGAUCUGAAAUCAAACCGUGACUAAUAUUGAAACUAUGAUGUUGCGAUUUUUGAUUCUUCGCCUUUUGUGUUUUACAGAUUUCACCAUCUUCUUCUUUUAGAUUUCACUUUGCUCAACUUUUGUGUUUUUGACUUUGCAGGUUUUCUCCUUUGAUGUAUGAGGCAGCAGUGGUGCAUAGUAGAAAUAAUUUGGAAAUUGAAAGUCAUACACAUGGAAAGUUCAAGCUAACAGUAACAUUGACUAGGAUAUCACAGGGCAGUCAGAAAAAUUAAAUUAAGCUGAUAUGGGUUUAUCAAUUCUCCAGGUUGUUCUUGCUCCAGUCACACUUGGUCUUCUUCUCAAUACAUAUGCAUAGGAAUAAAAGCAUUGCUGAAUUUUGAUGUAUUGUUUCUUUGAUAAAGAUGUGUAAUGUGGUGAGGAUAAAUUAAAGUUUGAUUAAAUUUUUAUAGUAAGUAAAAUAAUAAACUUUAUAGGUUUACAAAUAUAUUUAAUAUAUAAUUUAAAAUAGAAUGUAGUGGAACCAAA
This is a long non-coding RNA of Vicia villosa (hairy vetch), 876 nucleotides long. RefSeq lists it as uncharacterized. The transcript is spliced from 5 exons. The record is from RefSeq and is a predicted model, not a curated record. NCBI's taxonomy places the organism in Eukaryota, Viridiplantae, Streptophyta, Magnoliopsida, Fabales, Fabaceae.